Molecule: non-coding RNA, 88 nt
Filed under: bovine gut metagenome
Source: RNAcentral
UAACAGGGGUGCUGAGCCGCAGAAGGCGGUUCGGCUGAGAACAUACUCUUAUACCUGAUCCGGAUAAUGCCGGCGUAGGGAGCAUAUU